UUCUACAUUAACCAAUACCAAAAAACACCUAGAUCCCGUUAUCAAUAUUGAAUAAUUUUAUAAAAUUAUAAAACCUAUAAUGCUAGAACUAGUAAUAAGAAAUGCGCAUUUCUCCUAAAUGUGAGUACAAAUCAGCAAGAACUCCUCCCUGACCAAUACUGCAAUGCAAAGUAACAACUCAUACCAGAAAACCUUACCCCACUAAGCAUUAACCUAACACAAGAACAUUUAAGGAAAGAUAAAACUAGGGGGAAGGAACUCGGCAAAUCUUAGUCUCGCCUGUUUACCAAAAACAUCGCCUUUUGAUUCCCAUAAAAGGUCCAGCCUGCCCAGUGACUACAAUUUAACGGCCGCGGUACCCUAACCGUGCGAAGGUAGCAUAAUCACUUGUUUCUUAAAUGGAGACUAGUAUCAACGGCACCACGAAGACUACACUGUCUCCCCCCUAAAAUCAAUGAAACUGAUCCCCUCGUGAAGAAGCGAGAAUACAAAUAUAAGACGAGAAGACCCCAUGGAGCUUUAAACGAACUUCAAUUGCUCCCUUCCACACCAUAGAAAUUGAGCACUAAUGAUGAUAUGUUUUCGGUUGGGGUGACCGCGGAGUAAAACAAAACCUCCACAAUGAAUGCAAUAAGCUAAUAAAAGAACUACAAUUCUAAUAAUCAAAAAAAUUGACAUUAUUGACCCAAACACUUGAUCAAUGAACCAAGUUACCCUGGGGAUAACAGCGCAAUCCAUUUUAAGAGCCCAUAUCGACAAAUGGGUUUACGACCUCGAUGUUGGAUCAGGGUAUCCCAGUGGUGCAGCCGCUACUAGCGGU
Molecule: ribosomal RNA, 820 nt
Filed under: Leptopelis calcaratus (Efulen forest treefrog)
Lineage: Eukaryota; Metazoa; Chordata; Amphibia; Anura; Arthroleptidae
Description: partial 16S ribosomal RNA
Rfam family: Bacterial large subunit ribosomal RNA
Source: RNAcentral